This 590-nucleotide ribosomal RNA is filed under the name Candida dubliniensis. RNAcentral's name for it is "partial 28S ribosomal RNA". It matches the Rfam family "Eukaryotic large subunit ribosomal RNA", at positions 64 to 669 of the family's 3401-position model. Lineage: Eukaryota; Fungi; Ascomycota; Pichiomycetes; Serinales; Debaryomycetaceae. The record is from RNAcentral.
CCAAUUUUGAGGUGCGUCUGUGCGGCGAGUGAGCGGCAAAAGCUCAAAUUUGAAAUCUGGCGUCUUUGGCGUCCGAGUUUUAUUUUGAAGAAGGUAUCUUUGGGCCCGGCUCUUGUCUAUGUUCCUUGGACCGGGACGUCCCAGAGGGGGAAAUUCCCGGGCGAGAAGAGGCCCCGGGCCUUGUUAAGGUUCCUCCACCAAUCCAGUUGUUUGGGAAAGCCGCUCCUAAUGGGGGGGAAAUUCCCUCCAAAGCUUAAUAUUGGCGAAAGACCCAUUGCGAACAAAUACCGUGGUGGAAAAAAGAAAAAAACUUUUAAAAAAAAGUGGAAAAGUACCUGAAAAUUGUUAAAAGGAAAGGGCUGGAAAUCAAACUGGGAAUUUUGCUGGCGGCCCUCUCGGGGGCGGCCGCUGCGGUUUACCGGGCCACCUUCGGUUUGGAGCGGCGGGAUAGGGGCGGAGAAGUGUGGCGCGGCUUCUGCUGUGUGUUAUACCCUCUGACGACAGUGCCCCCCUAAACCGAGGAGUGGGGUUUUUCUACCAAGGAUGUUGAAAUAAUGAUCUUACCCCGUCAGUCUUGAAACACGAACAAA